Long non-coding RNA from Mus musculus (house mouse), 1387 nucleotides. RefSeq annotates it as predicted gene, 34811. The transcript is spliced from 4 exons. The record is from RefSeq and is a predicted model, not a curated record. NCBI's taxonomy places the organism in Eukaryota, Metazoa, Chordata, Mammalia, Rodentia, Muridae.
CAUGGAAACCCCAGGAUUCUACUAGGUGCUGGUAGGCUGGGAGGGAGAAUGAUGUCAUAAAUCAAGCAGUAGCCAAUUGGAAGGUCAUAUUCUGAGCUCCAAGACAGGAUUGGGUCGAGAAGAUGCAUGCCAGAAGACCAGCUUCAUCCAUGAAGCCUGAGUUGUGUGCUGAUCAAAGAGUUAAUCUUGGCAUGGCAGCCCCUCUUGACAUGACUUUUAGCCUCUGAGUUUAUGGCAGUGCUUUUGAUAAGGUUCAUUGAUGAAGAUCUUUCUAAUGGACAUAUGAUGUAAAAUAUUCCAAAAGAUUAUAUCCCUUCAGUGCCCAUUGUAUACUCAGACAGAACCCUACAGCAGCAAGGAGAGGAGCAUAUAGGUUGGGGCAACUUAGGCUUUGAUCCUUGGACCAGCUUGAUCCUGCAUUCUUACAUUAGUGAGUGAUAGCACUGAACUUCCAGAAGCAGUGGUCUUCAUUUCAUCUGGCAAAUGCUUGUAAAAAACCAACACUCUCCUACUGUGGCACUAUAGACCCAAGGUUGGCUUGGAGUACUUGGAGGCUACACUGCUUGACAGAAGAUACCCUGCUUUCCUAAUGCCCUCAAAAGUAAAAGGCUCAAGAGUGUGAACUUCCUGGAGCUGCUUUGCACUUGAUGCAAUCCUGGCCUCAUAAGAGACGUCUGGCAAGUGGAGCUGGAGGUCUCAAAUAGAGGAGAACAUGGACUCGGUGGUGCCACCAUUCCUCAGGUUGGUUGGUUAUUUGUUGUGUUUGUGUGUAUGCACUGUGUGUGUGUUCACCAUACCGUGUAUGUGGAGGUCAGAAGACAACAAUAGUUAUGUCGUUCCUUCCAUUAUGUGAGUUUAGAACACUGAGCUCAGGCUGUCAGGCUUGUUAGCCAGCUCCUUGACUCACUGAUCCAUUUUGCUGGCCCCAUUCUUCGACUGAACAGUGUCUCCCGAAGCCACAAGAAAAUCAAGAGACUAUCACGCGACCUUAAGUCCCUCCCUUUCUGGUGUUAUGUUCCACAGUGGUGGGGAUAGAUCCCAGGUUUCCCACUUACUAUUCAACAGUUCCACCGUGGAACUUGCCUCAGCUCAGAACUGGGCUUUUACUCAUAGGUAAACCCUUUCCCAUAUCAAAUAAGCAGAUAUAUUGGCAUUGGAAAUUGCAGGCCCAGUCACAUGCACACCCAUGCUCCAGAGGUGGCACCAUAGGUUAAUACUUGGACUUGUCAACAGUAAAGACCUUGACACAUACAUGUAUAGCCCCAACAUCAGUUUUUCAAUUGCAACCUGAACCUUUCAACCUAUGAAAAUUACCCUUGAAGGCUAUCUUCACCUUGUGCUCUAUACAGUAACACUUUAGUAAAUUUUCUUUUCCAGGACAGGGACU